RNAcentral lists this long non-coding RNA (504 nucleotides) under Phoenix dactylifera (date palm). RNAcentral's name for it is "long non-coding RNA (PDAC_LNC020090)". The record is from RNAcentral. Lineage: Eukaryota; Viridiplantae; Streptophyta; Magnoliopsida; Arecales; Arecaceae.
UGAGUGAGGAUGACGAAAAAAGAGAUCGAGUAUAGACAUUACUGGCUCGGCCAAGUAGUGGAGCAUCCUUUUGUCUCGUAGAUGCCUAAUGUGGCUGCAAAAAUCCGGCAAGCUAGCCAGAGUGCUUGUGGAAGGCCGAAAACAACGCCAGAACUAAGCAAAGAUGGCUAGGGCAUGGUAAAGAGGGGGUGGCCUUCGGCCAAAGCGCCAAAGAUAGGAAAAAAAGAUUUUCUCACUCUAAAAGCUUACUAUUGGUAUACGACUUAUUGUAACAACAUGCAAAUGGCCAUAGUUUUAUCAACUAUGUAUAUUUACGUUUGUCAAUGAUUGAGUUUCAAAGCAAAAUGAUAGAUAAUAUAGAAUUAUCUUGAUUAUUAUUUCGGUCAUUGUUGUGUUGGUAGUGGGGUAUAGAAGGAGAAAUCAUAGCUCUCAAGACGAGCACUCCAAAUCUAGCUCCCAUAUCGAGCACUCUAAACCGAACUCCCAUACCAAGCACUCUAAAUC